Molecule: ribosomal RNA, 644 nt
Filed under: uncultured bacterium
Lineage: Bacteria
Description: bacterial SSU rRNA
Rfam family: Bacterial small subunit ribosomal RNA
Source: RNAcentral
CGCGGCCUAUCAGCUUGUUGGUGGGGUGAUGGCCUACCAAGGCUGCGACGGGUAGCCGGCCUGAGAGGGUGUCCGGCCACACUGGGACUGAGAUACGGCCCAGACUCCUACGGGAGGCAGCAGUGGGGAAUAUUGCACAAUGGGCGCAAGCCUGAUGCAGCGACGCCGCGUGGGGGAUGACGGCCUUCGGGUUGUAAACCUCUUUCACCAUCGACGAAGCCUUCGGGUGACGGUAGGUGGAGAAGAAGCACCGGCCAACUACGUGCCAGCAGCCGCGGUAAUACGUAGGGUGCGAGCGUUGUCCGGAAUUACUGGGCGUAAAGAGCUCGUAGGUGGUUUGUCGCGUUGUUCGUGAAAUGCCACAGCUUAACUGUGGGCGUGCGGGCGAUACGGGCAGACUGGAGUACUGCAGGGGAGACUGGAAUUCCUGGUGUAGCGGUGGAAUGCGCAGAUAUCAGGAGGAACACCGGUGGCGAAGGCGGGUCUCUGGGCAGUAACUGACGCUGAGGAGCGAAAGCGUGGGGAGCGAACAGGAUUAGAUACCCUGGUAGUCCACGCCGUAAACGGUGGGUACUAGGUGUGGGUUUCCUUCCUUGGGAUCCGUGCCGUAGCUAACGCAUUAAGUACCCCGCCUGGGGAGUACG